CAAGUUCCAAAAACUUGCCAUGCCAAAAGAAAAAAGAGAAUUGAUCUUGUAUUGGUUUAAGUCCUUUGCAUGGUUUAGGAAACAACCUAUCCUUAAUGCAAGGCCAUUCACUUGAUCAAUUGAUCAAGAUGAAUUAGAUUUGAAUCAAGGAAGAUUAAGUCUCCCUAAUCAAUGCUAACUUAUCAAUCUUCAACUCAUUGAUCAAAAG
RNAcentral lists this long non-coding RNA (208 nucleotides) under Lathyrus oleraceus (garden pea). RNAcentral's name for it is "Pisum sativum (pea) long non-coding RNA (PSAT_LNC031524)". The record is from RNAcentral. Lineage: Eukaryota; Viridiplantae; Streptophyta; Magnoliopsida; Fabales; Fabaceae.